This 343-nucleotide RNase MRP RNA is filed under the name Anopheles stephensi (Asian malaria mosquito). RNAcentral's name for it is "rNase MRP". It matches the Rfam family "RNase MRP". Rfam says of the family: RNase MRP is an enzymatically active ribonucleoprotein with two distinct roles in eukaryotes. The record is from Rfam by way of RNAcentral. Lineage: Eukaryota; Metazoa; Arthropoda; Insecta; Diptera; Culicidae.
UGGUUCUUCCUAGCUCAACUCUCGUGGUUCCAUACGAGUUACCCCGAUAACUCCUUCGAUGCUCCGUCGUUGAAACCGACAUGUGGAGCACGCCAUGGGAAAAGUCCCCGGGUCUACGGCAAGAAAUUGUCAGGACGUGAUUCCGUCUCUGAAUUUUCAAUCAGAAGCGCCCUUUAACCGGUGCUUAGGUUGAGGUUCUAAAUAAAUCCAUCUUGGACCAGACAUAAUCAAAGAUAUGUUGAGGGAAACCAUCGUAUCGGAAGUUGGUGGCGGGAGGGUCCGCUCUUCCUCCACCUUCUCUCCCCUACUGUUCUUACACAAUGGGGCUUACUCAGAAAGAACC